UUUGUUAUUGCUUAUUGAGGGCGAUAUGCAAAGGUUACAACUAAAGGAACAGAAGAAAAGAUGGAAAAAUUUGGUAUAAUUUUUGUGUCAAAGAGUCUUGUUAGCCCUACGGAUUAAUCUCAGAAUCAUCGAUUUUUGUUUGUAAAUUUGGCGUCUUUUACUUUCUUUCUUUCUGAUCUAAUAUACUUUGAUUAAAUUCAGUCUUCACACUUGAGUCUUCGCAAAAGAAAAGUGUUCAAGGGUAGUAGUAAAUUAGGUGUUGGUAUCGAGAUCAUUAGAAGGAAAGUUGACUUUUUUUUACUAAAGACCAUCAUCAUUAUCAUCAAUUGCAAUUACAACAACAUCGAGUAUCAUCAUCAUUAUCGUUGUACAAAGGGAAAAAGAAUAAAAACAGGUCAUGGGAAACCAGGUUUAAAGGGUGUGACCUUUCAAGCCAGUUUAAUAAUCAAACAAUGACGUUCCUAAAAUAAUAAUGGCUACCAAGCUGAAAUGAUGACCUUACACAAUUAUUUUUAAUACCUGUUAUAUUAGCUAAAAAGUUAUUUAACCAGUCCACCAAUGUGAUCACCAUGUUUUUUUUAUCUGAUGUCUGUUGACCCUUCUUUUAAAGGCCAAAAAUCCAAUGUAAAAGGAGAGUUUUAAAAGAACGAAGCUAAAUAAAGAAAGAGUGACUCCUCUUUACCCUAAGGCCUUUUCCAUCCAUCUACCCUGAGUUUUCCCAGCACAUUAAGGAACAUCGCAUGGCUACUCACUUUGAAAAUUUCAAUUUUUUCCACCUUCUUUCUAAAUCUUUCCAUAGAGAUUUGACUCCUCUUCAGACCUCUCCUCUCACUCUUACCUGAAUAUGAAUUUCCUUGCAAUUUCAUAACUUCCAAUGGUUCCCUUUUCAACUGUCCAUAAUAAUUGUGUAAUAAUUUCAGAAGAAAAAAAAGGUUCACAUUAAACAAGGAGAAGAAGCAAAAAAGCCUAAACCAAAGGGAAAACAAAAGGAAGAAGAAAAGAGAACGAAAAAAAAGAGAAAUCGAAAGUAAAGCAAAUAAAAAAAUAAAGAGUCAAGAUUACCAGGAAAAAGUAAUCAUCAUUCUACAAUCAUGACUUUGGGUGUAAAACAUGUUCACAAUAUUCAUCAGCUGGUGAGGUUUAGUGAAUCUAAAAUCUAACCCUAAAAUCAUCAAAAUAGAUUGGGUUUUAAUUUAUUGGCUAUCAAUAGUUUGUAAAUGCUUCAAGUUGCUUGGAUUGCUCUUCAGAGAAAAUUAUUGCACUGGUUUUGUAUAAAAACGCACGCGUCGAGGUUAAGCCAAGACAUGAUUCUCAAGUGAGUGACUUGAGGACACCCUUUAAUUCAUCAUACAAGCUUGUUUAGUGUUAGGUGCAUCAUGCAGAAAUCUAGAAAUAAACAAAACUUGAAAUUAUUAUGAGCCUAAUAUACAAAAAUUUAUAAUAAUCGUUAUCUUUUUCAUCUCCUUUAUCGUCCUCUUGAAGUGGUUCCAAGCAACUGUCCAUGGCAUGUUAUAAUCAUUAAACAAUGUAUCAACAGAUUCCAUGUUUUAAUGAUGUUCUUAAUAAGCGAUCAGCUUAGAUUUGACCAGAGACAAAACAAACAUCCUGAAGCUAACCGCCCUCAUCUCCCGACAUAACAUUAACAUAUCCGCUCUCUCAAUAUCGCUUUAUAUAAUAUAAUUCAUGCGGUUCAUUGUUUUGAUCAGACAGAAUAAUUUUAUUGUUAUUUAGUCCAUUCUUUCAAAUAAUUUUCAUCAGUCUUCCCAUUUACACUAUGAGUUUAGUUUUUAGUUUGAUGCCAUCAAAUUCAGGUAGAGUUGGAAUGUCCCUUUCCGUUAUUAAUUUUAGGUUUGCAUUUAAAUUUUCAUUUUCAAUUUUCUCAUUAUUUAUCAGAAAGGUCCAUUGAGUUAAUCUUCUUUCAGGAAAUUUCAUCAGCACUAAGUCCAUAUCGUAAAACAAUUUCUUAAACCAACAAUAAGGAAUGAAACUAAUUGAUGACAAAUUGGUUAACAGAACAAUUAGAUAAUCUUAAAAACGUGAAUAAUAUUAAAAACAAAAAUUUUAAUCGAUUUCAAUUAAAAUUGAAUUUCCAUUUCUGACAUAAACAAUUGUUUUGAGUUUUGACAAGAAAGCAAAUCUCUUUCUUCCUUUCUUCUCUUUCCUUACAACAUUAAGCCGGCUUUCACCGGCUUCGGUAUUUUGCCGGUUUCACAUUGUUACGCCAUCUAUCGAGUAAUCUGGUUCCUUCAAAUGUAAACAAAGAGGCUCAAUAUAUUCAAUCUUUAGAGCAAUUGAAAUAUUAUUGUUUCAUGGAUUGAAUUAUGUCCAUAGUAAUUAAGGCAUCAAUUUUUACGUUCAUUAGUACCUUUUUUUGCCUGUUUCAUCCAUUAGUUCCAAUUUAUUUAUUAAUCUAAUUCUGUAACUGAAUUAUUAACUAACUUGUUCACAUUUCUUUUUAAUUUAAUUUAACCAAUUUGUCCUUUUCCUCUAAUUUGAUGAAAUCUUGCUUCUUUAUACGGCCUUUUGUGAUGAUUCCUUUUUUUGUUAAAUAAUCUCUUUUCUGUUUCUAUUUUUCCCUUUAUUGAUGGUGAUUAACUCUGUUUCGCUUUUGAAUUUUACUUCACAAUUUAGGAUUGCAAAUUAUGGUUAUGCAUUCUCUUGGUGAACAGAUUUAUGAUUAACUCAUUGUUGUAAUUGUUGACCAUUAGUGAAAUAUAUUAGUUAAUAAUCUGGGUUCAUUUUGUUUCAACUUUCAGUUAUCAAAUGAAGCUUUAUUUUUUGAUGAGUCUCUUUUUAUUAAAUUGAAAUUGAGUUGAAACCGUCCUUACAUUGUUAUAUGAAAAUAAAGCAAAAAAAACAGUAGAGAGAAGAUUGAUUUGCUCAAUCGCGUUAGCUUUCCCAUUCCUUUGUUUCAUUGUACUAAUGCUUUCCCGUUAAUGUGUUAUGGUUCAAUUUAAUUGCUAUUAUAUUAUUAUCUUGAGCCAUAUUAAAGUUAUAAUUUGUUAUUCUCCCGAUUUGUUUAAUUACCUGUGGGCUCCUAAUAUUUUCAAUGCCUUUUUGGGUAUAUUUUGGUGAUAUUUUUCAUUUAUUGGUGUGUUGAAUAUAAAUUGAUAGGGAAGAAGAAGAAAAGGAAAGAGAGAAGCCCAGCAAUCAGCAAUUCAAGUCCUAACCAGAGAGAAAAAAACGAAUGGAAUUUAUCAUUAAACUCUAUCUACUUGGCAAUCAAAUGAGAGAUGAGAUUAUUAUUGAUCUACUUCUUUCCCUGUGAGAUGAGACCAGGUAUUUGAUGGCAAAAAAGAAGCUAAAAAAGGAGGAAAAAGACUGAAUCUCUUUUCAGUCUCCCAUAAAUGAUUCGGAAUCUAAAGAAAAGAAUUGAUGGAAUCGAGUUAAACUAGUAAUGGCCGUAAUUGAAAGCAUAAUAAUCAACAUUUUUUUAUCAAAUCAUUUAGUAACUCAAGCUUUCAUCCUUUUUUUUUGGGUUUAGAUCUUUUUCUUAAGUGAUUCCAGAGGCAAACAAAGGCAAUAUGUUUUUCUUUGAUAUAAAAGUCAUAGCAAAUAACAAACAUCACUAUCAACCAAUGGAAGGAGAAAAAAUUCAGGAAGACAAGGCAAAGGAGGAAAAGAUUGUUAAUGUGAAAUGAUGAAGGGAAAAACUCGAACAGCAUCUUACGUCUUUCUCUCUGUCUUUCGGAAGAUUUGUGGGAAACAAGAAUGGUCGUGGUGGUGAUGAUGAUGAUGUGAAGGAGGAUACAUUGUAUAUAUUCUUGGAAGAAAAGGGAAAAAAAGAGUAACAAAUAUUAUCUGGUUUCUUUCUUGGACUCAAAAAAAAAGAACCUAGAAAAAGCAAGAAGUGAACAAGCGUCAAAAUUGAGGAGUGCAAAGGUUUUAAAGCAAUUUAAUGGUGGCGAUUUCAAUUGAAAGACUCUGAUGAAAAGUGAAAUACAAUGAUAAUGAUAAACAUAAAGAUAAAGGAGGAAAGAAGGAAUGAAACUAUUAGUAACAAAAAUAAAUCAGUAACUAAAGUAAUGAAGAUGAGGGACAAUUCUAGGAAAUAAUAACUUUGAGUGAUUGUAUAAGAGGUAUACUCUUGUCAAGCAGUAUUCAAAGAAAUCAACAAAUCUCACGAAUCAUCAUCAUCAACAUCAUCUCAAUAGUAAUCUAGAGAUUUCAUGUUAUAUCAUUAAUGAAUGGCACCCAUCAAGAGAUGAAAUCAAAGAAACUCCAAGUAUUAUGAAAGUUUGGAAACAAUAUGUGUAUAAUGUUAGCAGUUAAUACUUAAGGAAUGAUUGGACUGAUAAAAAUAAUUACAUUAGGGCCUCCAGUUUGCUUGUAUUUUAUCUGCCAUCUAUUAAUAAUUAGCCUAAUUAUAGUCAUCUUAGCCGGUAAGAUUGAGCUGAACUUGAUUAAUUACACAUUGGUAACAAAGAUAACCUUGUAAACAAAUCAAGUUUUGUAUUUUUUGUUGUUGUUGUUUUCUUGCAUGAAUACAUAUAAAGUAUUUGAUGGACUAUCAAAGAAACAAUAAAUGAGAUUGCCUCCAAACUCAAGUGGAAACCCAAUUUUGGCAUCAACUAAACCAGUAAAGUUUUGAGUAAAACAAUAGGGACCCCUCAAUGAUUGGGUUUAAACUGCUGACCUAAAUUGACCUCUAGCUGCCCAAUUAUACUUCAUCAUCUCUAUUAAGGUUCCAAUAUCAACCAUCCAAGGGCAAAAGUGAGUUUUUUUCAGUGUUGAUCGAUAGAAAUGAUAAAAAUGGGAAAGAUGUGAUGUUGGCGAAAGAGAGAAAUAAUAAAGAAAAGAGAGAGAAGAUGAAAGAAGGCGAAAGAAAGGCAACAACCAAAAUCUUCUCUUUUCUUCUCUCUUUUUAUCUUCGUUUCUCCAUUCAGAAGAAGAAGAAAGCAAAAAAAACUGAUGUGGAUUUUUUUUCGUCACUAAAGUUAUUUCAUUCUUAUCUGCUUCUCUGAGUUUCACCUCCCAAUAAGAAUUGAACCAACAAGGUAUCAUGUUAAUACGGUAAAGGAAAAGACGAAGAAGAUGAAAAAAAAGGAUGGAAACGAGAAGCCAAAAAGCAAGAGGAACCAAGAGGAAGACAAAGAGACCAGGAUGAAGCAGUUGAUGCCAUUUUGAUGAUGUUGAAAGUUAACAGAGAUUAUCCACAUGAAAUAUCAAAGAAAUAGAAGCAAGCCUGUGUAAACCUUAUAGUAGAUAUAAUUGACAUUGAGUUCAAUCGAUGAUAUCGAAUUAAAGCUGUACAGAGAGGGGGAAAAGGAGAAAGAUGAGAAGAGCAAGAAGAAAAGGAAUAAGAGAGAGAGAGAAAAAAGAUGAAUAAGUAAAGAAAGAGAAAGAGAAUGUUGUUGAUCGAUCUUAGAUUAACCCAUUUCAAGUGUGGAUCCAUUUCGUUGCCUUUCAACCUUCAUGACAAACUUAUGCUUACAAUUUGCCUCAAUCACAGAUGAAAAUUGUAUUAAAAGACUAUCUUUAUCAUUUACCAUUCAACUGAAUCUCCAUUAAUACUGGUUCAAUAUUGUUUACUUGUACGUAAACAAUAACCAUAAUAAUUUGAGUGCAAUCAAUUAGCUUCUCAUUCAAAAUAUCUGUUUGUUUCAUUUACUCCUUUCAUUCUUGAUAAUCUUUUCUAUCAUUUCGCAUAAUUUUCAUCUUUCAAUCCUAUUUGAACCGUUUUCUGUCUCUUCUUUAUACCUUUUCAUUUCCACCUCAUAAUCUUGCGAAUCCUUGUUACUUUCAUUUCAUCUUUUCACAUGAUGUUCAUCCAAUGAUCAUCUUUAGUUGUGAUGAACCAGAAAAUUUCAUCAUAACUGAGUCCCAAAUCUUUUCAAAUUAUCUUCUCAAGUUCAUUUUCCAUUACCUUCAAAAGUCUUGACAUUUUGAUUUUU
This is a long non-coding RNA of Tetranychus urticae (two-spotted spider mite), 5894 nucleotides long. RefSeq lists it as uncharacterized. NCBI's taxonomy places the organism in Eukaryota, Metazoa, Arthropoda, Arachnida, Trombidiformes, Tetranychidae. The record is from RefSeq and is a predicted model, not a curated record.